Cavia aperea (Brazilian guinea pig) is the source of this 119-nucleotide ribosomal RNA. Lineage: Eukaryota; Metazoa; Chordata; Mammalia; Rodentia; Caviidae. The record is from Ensembl.
GUCUACGGCCAUACCAUCCUGAACGCACCGAUUUCUCCUCUGAUCUCGGAAGCUAAGCAGGGUUGGGCCUGGUUAGUAUUGGGAUGGGAGAUGAGAACUUGCCCAGGCUGAUGUUCAUU